RNAcentral lists this ribosomal RNA (305 nucleotides) under uncultured bacterium. RNAcentral's name for it is "bacterial SSU rRNA". It matches the Rfam family "Bacterial small subunit ribosomal RNA", at positions 333 to 630 of the family's 1533-position model. The record is from RNAcentral.
GGGUUCCUACGGGGGGCAGCAGUAGGGAAUCUUCCACAAUGGGCGAAAGCCUGAUGGAGCAACGCCGCGUGGGUGAAGAAGGUCUUCGGAUCGUAAAACCCUGUUGUUAGAGAAGAAAGUGCGUGAGAGUAACUGUUCACGUUUCGACGGUAUCUAACCAGAAAGCCACGGCUAACUACAUGCCAGCAGCCGCGGUAAUACGUAGGUGGCAAGCGUUAUCCGGAUUUAUUGGGCGUAAAGGGAACGCAGGCGGUCUUUUAAGUCUGAUGUGAAAGCCUUCGGCUUAACUGGAUUAUUGCAUUGUG